This 3907-nucleotide long non-coding RNA is filed under the name Nicotiana tabacum (common tobacco). RNAcentral's name for it is "long non-coding RNA (NTAB_LNC005225)". The record is from RNAcentral. Lineage: Eukaryota; Viridiplantae; Streptophyta; Magnoliopsida; Solanales; Solanaceae.
CCACUUUCGAACCCUUUCUAGGUAAAGAAAAUUGGUGUUCGCCUUUUGCAAUUUCUCUUUGCCGUCUUUCAGUCUCUUCUGGGUUCUUCAUUUUUUCUCUGCUUUAUUUGUUUCUCCUUGUGAAAUUAUUGAGUUCUGUUGUUUCUAUCGUGGUCUGGAAACCAGCGAACAUACCAGUACCACGGUGAAAUAGGAUAUGUGUACUAUCCUAUAAACGACUGGAAGCCGUCGAGUUUGGCUGAGGGGGCUAUUGAACUAUUAUUGUCGAUUUUGAUGGUAAUUUUUUUAUUAUUUCAACAAAGAAAAGUUAUACAGUUUGAGUAUCUUCUUAGUGGGUGCUUUUUUCGUUUUUUGGGUAUUAAAUGAUCUACUAGAGACUAAGGUAAGGUGUUUUGGGCAUACUUCUGUCUUUUGGUUGCAUUUUUACCUGGGUGAGAUUAAUAGUAUUUCUUCUGCACUUAGGACUGCAUUGAAAACUUAAAAGUUAUUUUUACAACGUUCCGGCCUACUGAUGUUUCCUAUUCUCCAAUUUACAUAUAAAAAAACUGUCUAGGUCAAUAUAAUGAUCAUUCUGUAAGGAGAUUCGUAAUAUUCUUUAAUUUUAGUUGUUAUCCAAGGACAAUUGUGAUUGUGCCUAUUCCAUUUGCAGUUCAUUUUGUUCCCUUAAGCUGAAAGCAGAUUGUUUUAUUUUGGUAAAUAUGACAAAUUUUUAGGACUCUGCUAAUGCCCCAAAGAACAUCAAAGCUGAGAGGUGGAGGUGCAUCGUUGUUUAUGUGUUAUCAUUGUCAUCAAGCCCAUGGCAGACAUCAUUAAAUAUAAAACUAACUGGUUAAGCAUUUCAUAUUAGAAAUAUUUCUACAAUGACCGAUAAAUAAAGGUAUUGUCCUUGAUGCAUUAUUUUCAGCUGAUAUUUGCAAUUUCUCUCAAAUAUAGGUGUCCCAAACUUGGAGAACCCAUGAUACUGUAAGUAUAUUUACUUACUCUUUCUUAUGUCAUGUUAGGUAACAGUUUAUUAAAAUUGUUGAGACAUAGUAGUGAUACUGAAUACUAGAAUUGCCCUGAGUCAAUAUGUUGUCCUAUAUACGUUUGAGUCAUAAUUCAUCUGCCUCCCUAAGAUGUCAUAAGAAAAUAAUGUAGAGAACUACUAUGAUUUCUAUUUGAUCCUAAGGUAAACUAUGGUGUUAAACCUAUUUCACUCCAUAUGAUUUUUGGUGGAUGUGUAACAGGCUGAUGAUUAAUUCCUGUUGGUCGAGCAUUCUGAUGUAUACUUCUUUAUCGAAGGUUAGACUUCAAUAGUUUUUAUUUUCUGGAGGGAAAUUUUGAUUCUUGACAUUACUUUUUCAUCAAAUGUGACGCUAAAUAAGAGCUUUUUAUUGCUAUAUUUCAGGUAAUUUGGGGUCAUUCUCAUGCUUAUAAUGAUGAUAUCUUUGGUCACUACAAAAAGGGAUUGUGAGUAAAUCUUGAAGACAAUCAUUACAUUAUCUAUUCUGCAUAGGUAGUAGGUCUUCUAUUUAGCCUGCAAUUGAAUCUACAUAUCCAUCAAAGAUGUACUAUUGCAAAUGCCAAGGGUUAAGUUUGAAGGGAGCGAACAAGAAAGGAUAUUGAUGAGAUAAAGUAUCCGAGGAACUUAACAUAAUAUGGUGUUCAAUGAAUUUGCUUCAGUGAGUUUUGCAACGUUUAGAAGAGGAUGUUUAUUUGUUCAAUUGACCAUGUGAAAAAGUCAAAUGCAUGAAACGAACCUUCAUUUUAUGUGGAGACUGAAGCUGAAAGUUGAAACUUGCCUAGAAACUCACUCCACACUUGCAUUCUAAGUUAAUUCUUUUAAUCAUCUCAUCGGCCUGCCUUUUUAAGAGAAAAAAGAGGGAUAAUAAUCAUAUAGCGAGAAUUCCACCAACCUUGACUCAGACAGUGAUUGGCUUGUUAAGCACCCGAAGUGGAAGAGCUAAGAAUGACACUUUUUUCUUGCUUAUAAGUUAAAUUUGUAAGGCUAUUGGUUUUUUUACUGGUUUUAUUAACGUGUUAUGGUCAAUUUUAAUGUGAAGGUAUGUACUAACUCAACUUAUUAUUCUGUGCAGUUGGAAAAAGCACAUGAAACUAGAAAUAAGAACCCAAUGUGAAUGCACCUUUUAAUCACAAAACAAGGUAUGUUUUACAUGUUACACAAAAAAAUUGAAGGUCAUAUAAAUCUAUAGAUGCAAAAAAAUUGAAGGUCAUAUAAAUCUAUAGAUGCAAAAAAUUGCAUUCUAACAUUGUCAGAGACUCAAAGCUUUUUGGUAAAACAUGAAAUUAUUGUAGGGAAAGACAAUGUCUUGGUGAAUUAAUUUGAAUAAAGUAAAUUUUAGAAAUUCUUAACUACUUUUUAAGUCACUUCGCUAGAUUUUCUUUACUGAUCUUUCAUUCAAAUGCUAACUCACAUCUUUUGAUGCCAAUUCAGAAUCUCAAUAAACUCUAACCUAAGAUUAACUCCCUCUCCGCUGGUCACUAAACCAUUAAUAAAGUUAAAACAGGAAGGUGGCCGGGGGGGGGGGGGGGAGGGGAGAGAGAGCAGAAAAUGUUAAUAUGAGUAUUCCUCUUCAGCUCGCUAAAAGUUGGAAUAUGUCAAAAGAAACUCACGUCUGCUCCUCAUGCAAGACAUUAUCUUCCUGCUGCUAUUUUAGGAACUGGUGUAACGAUGAUUCGUAUUCAGGGUAAAAACAACCAAAGCAUGCAUUGCAUGAAACAACAUAAUUAUAAGUUUAUUUUAAUAAUAUUAAUGAAUUUAUAAUUCUUAUAUAGUCACCUUGUUGUAACGUAGGCUUUGAAACUAGAACAACAAGAUUAUCAUGUCUUUCAUGAUCUAGCUAGGUUUUUCAUUUCUUAAGUGAAAUGCACAACAAAAUGAGGUUUCUACUGAAGCUAUUUUCAUAAUGGGAUAUAGUAUAACCAAGUGAAGUCUGAGCUUUAGCUCAGCUUUAUUGAGAGUUGAGAGUAACAUUUAGCUUCCCCAAAUAUUAGCUCCCUGCACUUUGCUUUGUUCUAUUCGAAUAUACCCCGCCUAUGCCCUACUUAUUUUUGAACUAUCUGAACAAACAUGGAGUUUUGGAGUUUCAUGAUUUAUUCAACUGCUUGAGAAGAUAAAAAGUGCAAAGGAGAGUCAAUGUUAUCUGCUUAGAUAAGGUUAUGAAUUACAGCUCAAUUUUUGAGUUUCAUGUACCUAACGCGUAGGCUCUGCAAAUUUUAUAAGCCUUGGGGAGGAAAAUAUGUUUACGCCAAUUUUGCAUCACUAAGAUGUCCCAAAGUUCCGCCUUGACAUAUAUUGUUUGAGGUAAGAUGUGAAUCCUAUUCAUGUAUUAAAUUACAUACACUUGUUACAUGCAAACAAGAAUUUAUAACCCUUAUAUCGUUAGUGUGCUUUUGCAGACUUUGGAUUUGCUAUAUCAUUACGAAAAAGCUGGUGUCUAGGUGCUCUAUGCACGUGCUAGAUUCAUGUCAGUUGUAUGCUCUCCAUGCAUUGUCCUUGGCACAAGCUUUGGCAAGUCCGGUUGUGAAGUUCUAAAUAUAGGGUUGGCUUAUGUAGCCAAAUUAGUGCAAUGUUUUUCUAUGAGGUUUGUAGCGUACUUCUGUUAAUUUAGCCAUUUUAUCUUUACAGUAAGAUCGACAGAGAAAGAUCAUGAAAUGUGUGAAGAUUGAAUGUCUCUUUAGCUAUAACCUCCUUCCAAUUUGUACAUAAAAAUUCUAAUUAUUUAUUUUCUUUCUACUACACUAUUUACUGACCAAGGAAUUAUAUGCUGAUUUCUCGUUUUGAGUACAGAAUUAGUGGUGAUGGUGAAUCCAGCGACAAGGUUUUGGGGUGACCGUUGAAAGUAAAGCGAACUCCAACUUUCUGGAAUAACUAUUUGACUAUCUUUGGUAGUUAAAGAAUAACGUG